UGUCCAGGGAUGGGAAUCGAACCCACAGUGUUCCGCUUACCGGGCAGAUGCCAUGUCCACUAGGCUACCCUAAU
Molecule: non-coding RNA, 74 nt
Organism: Cordylochernes scorpioides
Lineage: Eukaryota; Metazoa; Arthropoda; Arachnida; Pseudoscorpiones; Chernetidae
Source: the annotation of a GenBank genome assembly